This 457-nucleotide ribosomal RNA is filed under the name uncultured bacterium. Its description in RNAcentral is "partial 16S ribosomal RNA". It matches the Rfam family "Bacterial small subunit ribosomal RNA", at positions 338 to 795 of the family's 1533-position model. The record is from RNAcentral.
CCUACGGUGGGCUGCAGUGGGGAAUAUUGCACAAUGGGGGAAACCCUGAUGCAGCGACGCCGCGUGAGUGAAGAAGUAAUUCGUUACGUAAAGCUCUAUCAGCAGGGAAGAAAUACUGACCUUACGGUCAGCAGACGGUACCUGAGUAAGAAGCCCCGGCUAACUACGUGCCAGCAGCCGCGGUAAUACGUAGGGGGCAAGCGUUAUCCGGAUUUAUUGGGUUUAAAGGGUGCGUAGGCGGAAGGUUAAGUCAGCGGUCAAAUGUCGGUGCUCAACACCGGCCUGCCGUUGAAACUGGUCUUCUUGAGUGAGCGAGAAGUAUGCGGAAUGCGUGGUGUAGCGGUGAAAUGCAUAGAUAUCACGCAGAACUCCGAUUGCGAAGGCAGCAUACCGGCGCUCAACUGACGCUGAGGCACGAAAGCGUGGGGAUCGAACAGGAUUAGAUACCCUUGUAGUC